This 3257-nucleotide long non-coding RNA is filed under the name Homo sapiens (human). RNAcentral's name for it is "novel transcript". Lineage: Eukaryota; Metazoa; Chordata; Mammalia; Primates; Hominidae. The record is from RNAcentral.
UAAGACGAAAUGAGAGACAGUGUUGGUGGAAGAAGAGAACUUAAGGCCAGAAGAAUUAAGAAAAAGAAGAGAAGUACAGGAGAUAUCAUUAAAUUAUAUAGUUCUCUCUUCGACUGUAGCCUUAUAACAGGGACAUUAAUAGAAUUAACAGGUGGAAUCUAAUUGUCUCCCUUGGAAUCUGGGAUGGCUGUCCUACUUAUUUGACCAACAGAAUUUGUCAGAAGGGACUUUCUGUAACUUCUGAAGCUGUCUCAUAAGAAGCCUUGCAGAUUCUGCUCAUGUCUCUUUCCUCUCUGGGAAACAAGUCGCGACUCAGGGAUAAGCCUGAGACACAUGGAGAGAACAUCCUGAUCAAUCUGGUCUUUGCUGCUACCCUGGUCAACAGCCUGAGCUGGAUACCUGGCUGACAAGUACCACCUUUUUCCUACACAGAUGACAACCCAGCCCAUGAGCACCAGGAAAAUUAAACAAAAAGCCGAAAGAAAAAAGAAAAGAAGAAGUCUGGGAGUGAAGUUAUAUGCUUAAAGGCAUGCAUCUAGCAAAUGGCAAAAAAAAUGGAUGAAGACACAAGACUGAUUGUCACUAAAAACCAUGUGGUAUGUUUGAGCAAGGGUCAUAGCUCAGCUAUCCAGGUGGCUUUGGUUUUGUGGCUCCACUUUCUCAACAUGAAACUCCAAUAGAGGAAGAAGGAAACAUGUGACCUGGAGAGUUGAAGUGGGUAUUGGAGACUGCUGCAUCAGCAGGGAAAUGCUUUAUAUCCUCAAAUGACAUGUGCUUCUCCUGACAGCUCAUUGACCAGAAUUAGCAACAUGGCCCUUCCUAACUAGAAGGGACCAGAAUGGAUAGUCCUUCUAUGUGUCCAGAAGGAGAGAAGGACCAGAUAUGUGUGAUCAUGUCUCCAUUAUGGGAGAAAAGAGAAUUGAAAAAGAAAGAAGAUCCACAUAGUGUCUGAGGAGCUGAGACAAAAGAAAAGUAAGUCAUCUCAUUGAGUCUCAGUUUCUUCAUCUCUCAAAGAAAGAUGAACAUACCCACUGCACUAAGGGUGUCAUGAAGAUUACAUUAGAAAAAUGCACAUGAUAUCUUUAAAUCUCUUUGCCAAUAGCAAGACAUUUUUAAAAAUGAAAUACUGUUUUAUGAUUGGUGGUUGUUUUACUAUGAAACCAUAAAAUGCUAGAUUUCAUGGGGGUAUACAAGACUUUCUCUGGUAUAGCCUUCCCUUUGGUACGAAAUUUUUUUUCCUAUUUUUUUAAAGCAACCCUAUUAGCUGAAGGUACAAGAAUUUUCAUUACAGAAGAUCCUAAAUGAGAGCAAUGAUCAGAAUUAGCUGGAAAGCCACACACAUGCACAACCUGAUUCAGAAGGAUCAGAGAAGGUUAUUUGCCCCCUUGCAGAUCUAGGGGGCCUGGGGCUUUUACAUGAGCCCCAAAGGAUGCACCAGAUAGAAAAUUGGCAGGAUGACUGGAAAUUUUCAAAAUGCACAGGUCAGUUGCAAAUAAUCUGAUGCUGUUUUUGGGAAACUGCAGGCUAAAAAUAGCCAUGGUUUUCCUGGAUGAGGCAUUAGUUUGAUGUUGGCCUUUGUAACCUGUAUGUUUUUGCCAUCUCUGCUCAGUUCCAAUCAUUUUUACUUCCUUUCACUUUGUGUACCUAUAAGAUUCAGAGUUGUAUUAGAAACAUUCAUACUUUCUUUCAUUGAUAUAUUUAUUCACAUAUCAUUUAUUCACUCAUUCAUUUAUCCAUAUAUCCUUUGCUUUCUUUCCAUGACUUCAUCAAGUUUCUUAUUUAGAGUAUAAACAUUUAUUGAUCACUUUGUUUUCUCUGGGCACUGUAUUAGGCACCAGAGAUUCUAAAGGUGGGGGGAAACAAACUAAACAACAACAACAGCAACAACAACAACAAAUCCUCACAAAAUAACAUGUGCAAUGUCGUGGGGGUGCAGACAAGCACUCAUAAUUACAACAAAUAAUGCAGAGUGCAGUAGGAGUUCAGAAUUUCAACUAGCUUGAGAGUAGAGUGGUACAAGAAGGUUUCUUAGAGGAAGUGGCAGUUGAAGUAAUUCCUGAAGGUAUUGUUCAAGUGGGGAGGGUGGGAAGGGCAUCCUAGGUAAAAGGAACAACAUUUAUGUUGUAAUGAAGCCAAGUUGAAAAGAAAGCCACGUGCAGGCAAGCAAAGCAUGUUUGCCAGAUCUGCAGUUAUUCUAGGAGGCUCUUGUUUAAUGUGUGCCUGAUAUUGUGGAUUUAAUCACUACCUCACAAAUUAUUCUUCAAGAUUCAACUUGAUCAUUUAAACACAGACUCUAACAGAGUUUCUGACUCACACUAGGCACUAGAAAAAUCUUAUUUCUGAACUCUUUGCUGUUGCGUUUUCCCCCUUACCAGUCCCACAGUGCCUUGCAGAAAGUAGCCAUUCAAUGAAGUUACCUCCAAUUUAAUCCUAUCCCUCUCCGCCCAGUCCCAGUUUAACUUCCUUUUCCACCUACAAAGACCCUGAGGGCCAGAAAGAGGGCAGCCUCUUCCCAAGGCCUCCUUGUCUUUUUCUGCUUGAGGAAAUAGCUUGUGGUGUCUCCUUGGCUGUCUGUUUCUCCGCCUCUGGGGAAUCUCCUCUCAUGUAAAUCCUGCAAUUAGAGGCUCUCACCCCCACCACCAGAGCUACAUCUGCCUCCCUAGAUAGGCACCCACUUGAUUAGGAAGAGAUAAUCACAGGGGCUGCUUCAGCCUACAGCUUGGUGAAGACAGGAAGAAAUUCUGAUUAAAUUUGUGGUUUCAAGAGAAGGGCUCCCCCUCUCUCAUCACAUACCAGCUUCCUGUCUGCCUAUACAUUUGGACUCAAGGCGCAAAAUUUUGAUUCGUCAUUUAUUUUUUCAAAAACCAUAGAAAUUAGGCAAUAAAUAGGAAUAUACCUCUUUGGUAGAUGAAGAAUGUGAGCUGUGAGAGAUGAAGCAUUUGACUUAGGUCAUAAUGUUGAUUGCCUAGCAGAGACUUUGGAUUCGAUCACUGAUUAGUUUUAUAUCCUCCAUAAGAGAAAGCAAGAGAAAGUAAGCAAAGCAUUUUUUUCCCUUGAGAUGAUCUAAUUUUGACUUCUGUAUGGGUGUGUGUUUGUACUUAUAUAUAUUAUUAAUUCAAAUUAUAUAUUCAACUUAACUUUUAGAAACAUUAGAAAUAUGUGCAGAAUGUAAGAAAUGCAUAAAGUAGAGGAAAGCCUAAGGAAGAAGCCAAAGUCAUUCAUUAUAUCCAGAGAUACUUCCUGGUUGAUAUAUGACG